UGGGGAAUAUUGCACAAUGGGCGCAAGCCUGAUGCAGCCAUGCCGCGUGUAUGAAGAAGGCCUUCGGGUUGUAAAGUACUUUCAGCGGGGAGGAAGGGAGUAAAGUUAAUACCUUUGCUCAUUGACGUUACCCGCAGAAGAAGCACCGGCUAACUCCGUGCCAGCAGCCGCUGUAAUACGGAGGGUGCAAGCGUUAAUCGGAAUUACUGGGCGUAAAGCGCACGCAGGCGGUCUGUCAAGUCGGAUGUGAAAUCCCCGGGCUUAACCUGGGAACUGCAUUCGAAACGGGCAGGCUAGAGUCUUGUAGGGGAGGGUAGAAUUCCAGGUGUAGCGGUGAAAUGCGUAGAGAUCUGGAGGAAUACCGGUGGCGAAGGCGGCCCCCUGGACAAAGACUGACGCUCAGGUGCGAAAGCGUGGGGAGCAAACAGG
RNAcentral lists this ribosomal RNA (429 nucleotides) under Chloroflexota bacterium. RNAcentral's name for it is "Chloroflexi bacterium partial 16S ribosomal RNA". It matches the Rfam family "Bacterial small subunit ribosomal RNA", at positions 355 to 776 of the family's 1533-position model. Lineage: Bacteria; Bacillati; Chloroflexota. The record is from RNAcentral.